UAAGAUUUCUCGUCUGGCAAAAUCCACCAUCGCCUGCCACAGAGCCGGGUGGGUGGUAACAGGCUCUAAUCGUAGUCCCCGGUUCUAUUUCUGCAGAAUGAAGGCACUCAGCUGUGACGGUUCCUCGUCCCUGCACCCGGGUUUUCCUUCGAGGGCUCCUGUUUCGAAGAGAAGCCUUUUUUGUUGUUGUUGUUUUAACUCGACCAAGAGACGGUCUAUUGUGGUGGCAAGAGUCCUGCUAAACUAACAAGGCUGAAUUCAAAGCCGACAGGUACCAGUCUCUCUAAAUAUCAGAAACCCAGUGUGGGAGAUCACCAAGAGCUGAUUCCAGUCUGACCACCCCAUCAUCUAAAUUCGGAAUCAGAGGAAGCCUUUCCCAGUGACCAGACUGGUGGCUCCCAUCUGCCCAGUCUUUGCUUCCUAAAAAUAAGUUACCCAGAAGCCUCAGCGCUAUGGUUGAGAAGGAAGCAAAAUAAUCAGUUGUCAGGGAGACGGUUCCUUUGCCAAGCCACGGGGGGAGCCCCUGGAAGAGCAGAGGCCACCACCUCCAAAAGCCCAGAAACUUGGGUGGUGAGAGACAUGGCUCAAGUUCAAGGAGCCCCCUCCCAUGCAAAUUAAACCACAGUCAGCCGUCACUUCAUGCCUCCAAGACUGGCUAUUGCCAAAAGACCAAAGGCCUCCCCAAAGGGACCCACGACCUUCUACCGAGGUAGCUGGAAUCCCUGCCUCACUGCCUCUGCCCCAGCCUCCUGAGGAUGCCUCCAUGUUUCUGAAAACCAAGUUCUCCUCACCUGGUACCACCUUCUCCAUCUUUUCUGCUGUUAUAUCUUACACAUCCUUCAACUCCAGAUGGAAGCCAGAGAGGAGAGACUUGAACCUGAAUCUUGGCUUUCUGCUGCUUUUGCCUGGUCUCUCUUCUCCAAAACCUGGGGAAGGUACUUGGGCUUCUCUGUUAACAAGAAGGGGACACUCGCUCCCAUUCUGGUGUUCUCAGAGUUUCUCGAUGGGUCCCUGGGUGGGGUCAAGGUGACCUUGAGGAGGGUUCAACUGGCCUUAA
Non-coding RNA from Ictidomys tridecemlineatus (thirteen-lined ground squirrel), 1057 nucleotides. The record is from RefSeq and is a predicted model, not a curated record. Lineage: Eukaryota; Metazoa; Chordata; Mammalia; Rodentia; Sciuridae.